This 2514-nucleotide ribosomal RNA is filed under the name Metschnikowia hawaiiana. RNAcentral's name for it is "[Candida] hawaiiana large subunit ribosomal RNA". It matches the Rfam family "Bacterial large subunit ribosomal RNA". The record is from RNAcentral. Lineage: Eukaryota; Fungi; Ascomycota; Pichiomycetes; Serinales; Metschnikowiaceae.
AGGUGAUAUAUUGAAAAAUGGUAUAUGUAAUUAAUAUUAUUUUAAGGAUUUCAAAUCAAUAUUUAAAGGUGAUAAAAAGAUAAAAAUAUCAAUCACGAUCAUGAAAAUGAGAUAAAAUAAAACGAGUGGAAUGAAACAUCUGAGUAACUUGUUAAAUAACCAACAGGGAUUAUAUAAGUAACGGUGAGUGAAAGUAUAAGAAUCUUAAAGUAUUACCAAGAGGUAAGAAUAAAGUAGUUUCCAACUACUAAGAAAUAAAAUUAAAUAUUAGAGUAAAGUACCGCAAGGGAAAGAAAGAAAAUAGAAUAAUAAAGAGCAGUUAUAGUAUAGCGUACCUUUUGUAUAAUGGGCCAGUGAGUUAUAUAUUUUAGUGAAAUAUAAAAAUUAAAUAUAAAUAGAUAAUUUAAAAUAAUUAAAGUAUAUAGGCCCGAAAGCAAACGAUCUACACAUGUCCAAGUGUAUAUAGCUAAUAAGUUAUAUAUGACUCAAUAGGUAAUUGUAGCAAUAAUUUCUAAAGAGAUGUGUGUAGCUGUGACAGACAAAUCUGGUUUGCAGAUAGCUGGUUUUCUGCGAAAUAUAUUUUAGUAUAGCCUUUAUAUUUGUUUAAACUGGUACAGCACUUAAAUACCUUUGGGGAAUUAGAAUAUAAUUUUAUCAAAAUAUUUAAACCUCGGAAUCAGUUAAUAAUUUAACCUUAAUUAAGGUUAUUUACUUAUAUUUUAUUAUAUAAGCAUUAUAUAAGGAGUCAGACUUAUUGCGAUAAGGUAGUAGGUCGAGAAGGAAACAACCUAGACUAUAAAAUGAAUGUCCCAAAUAUUAAUUAAGUGAACAAAAUCUAUCACAUUUUGAUUAUUUAAUCAAAAUUAAUAAUCAUAUAUUUUGAUUAUUAUAUUAAAUUAUAGACAAUUAGUAAGUGGGUUUGACAAUAAUCAACUUUUAAUGAACAUGUAACAAUGCACUAAUUUUAUAUAUCUUCGGAUAUAUUAAUAAUAGAGAAAAUAUACGGGUCUAAAUUAAUAACAGUAUUAUAGAUAUAAUUCAAAAUGAAUUAUAUGGUAGCAGAAUAUAUAAUAAAAAAUUAUAAAGAGAUUGCUGGCUUGAGUAACGAUAGAUAAUAUAAGAUUAUCCCCUAAUUCAUAAGGUUUUACUAUAAACGAACGGUCCCUAAGAUUAAUAUAGAAAUAUAAAAUUAAUGGGUGAAAGAACAAGAAAAGGAAAAUGAACCGUACUGUAGACCGACACAGGUAUGAUAAAAGGGAAUGGGAAAACUACUUUGAAUGAACUCGGCAAAAUAAAUCGUGCGACUGUUUACCAAAAACAUAGCUUAUUGCAUACUAGUAAUAGUAAGUAUAAUAAGUGAUAUCUGCCCGGUGUUUGUUUUAUAAAUAUUAUAAUUUAAUAGAUUAUUUUAUAAAGAACAGAUAAACGGCGGUCUUAUUGUGAGGAUCCGAAGGUAGCGAAAUUCAUUGACGUAUAAUUGACGUCCUGCAUGAAUGAAUAUACGAUGCGAUAACUGUAUCCAAAGUAGACCCAGUGAAAUAGCAAUUGCGGUGAAGAUGCCGUAUAUCCGUAGGUUGACAAAAAGACCCUAUGCAGCUUUACUAUAUCUUUAUUUUGAUUUUUAAUUAUUUCUUUAAAUAAUUUAUCUUCUUUUAUUUAUUUCAGUAGAUUAGGUUAUAUUUAUAUUUUAAAUCAAAUGAGAUACCUAUAUAUAUAAAAGAAGAAUCUAAUUAAUAUAUUUUCAUUAAAGCCCCAGCUAUGCUGGGGCUGGAGUUAAUGAAUUAAAUAAGUUAAGCUUAUAAUAAGUUAAGAAAGAGUAAAGAGGUUAGUUUCGAUGGGGCGUCGACAUCAGCGAAAGCAUCUGAUGUGUCUAAUAACAAGGUUUUUAUAAUAAAACUAAAUGUUUAAUUAAUUUAUUUAUUUAAUAGUAAAUUACGUACAAUAAAUCUAUAUGGUAAAUAGAAUAUAAGCCCCAGCAAUGCUGGGGCUGAUGAUUAUAAGUAAGGAUAACAACAUAAUUGUGCGAUGAUAAUAACACAAACGAGUGGAAUUAGUACUUACGUAGAGUGUAGUGAACAGGCAUAAACAAAUGGUAUGGAUGUCGAUAACGGAUUAACCGCGUGAGAGUUGAUAUCGUCAGCGGUGUUUGCCACCUCGAUGUCGUCUAGACUCGUCCUCCUGGUCGCAGCAACUAGGUAGGGUAGGACUGUUCGUCCUCUAAGGAGUUACUUGAGAUGGGUUAAUUACGACGUGAGUCAGUAAUGAUUUUAUCAUCUAUGGAUUUUUCUCUUAUCUGUUGCCUUAAGUGUACGCAAGGAUAAUAAGGUACAUUCCUAUGGUAACUAUUUAAUUAAUUAUUAUUAAUUAUCUUUUUGCUAAGAAUGUUGUGUUUACAUAUUGAAUGCAUAUCAAAUAUUAAAUCCUUCAGAUAAGUUUAUACAUUAUAGACUAUAAUGUGUUAGUAUUUACUCUUCUAAAAGAGUAAUUAACUAAUUAAAAAAUAUACAUAUACCU